AUGCUCCCCUUUCCUCCUCAGUCUGUGCUCAGAGAGAGUGGGACCUUCAUCCACGUCUCAACCUCGCUGAAUUUCUGCCACAGGAAACGUUGGAACACUCUUCUGAUCCCCUCCUGCCUCCGAACCAGAAAGGUUUAUUCCCCAACAAAACCACAUUUCGACAAACACAGUUCUUUUUCACCGACAUACUAUGAUCAGAAACCAGUGAUCAGGGCUCGUAACAAACAGAGGCUGCUUUUCCUUUCUUUCUUUCCUUUUUUCCAGUGUAACACUGUGCAUGGCAUCCCAGCGCUUCAGAAACACCCUGCUGCUCCACGGACACCUAGCUUGAUGUUAAUGAGAGCCUGGUGGAAAGGCUGCUGCAGAAUCUGUAACAGCGAGCUUCCCUCAACCACAAGAGCACUCCGUAGCAUAAGCAGCAAUGCAGCUAUGCCCACAAGAGUGCAGAUCUGGUGCAGCUCUGGAUGAUGUGUUGGCUCUUAAUCUUCUUCAUGCAUCACGUGCACACUGCUACCCUGGUACCAAAUCCGGAACCUUACUUGUGGAGAUGGGGAGAGAGACAGAACCACCUUAGUAUGCUAUCUUCCUGGGUAGAUUAGUUAUUGCCAGGUAGGGAAUGAAACCACAAUACCCUCUGUGCUGAAAAGUGGGUUAAUCUGGAAACAGAAGAGGAAGACUGAGCAUGGGUGCUUUGACGCAGGGUAAUCUGUAAUCCUGCUGCUCACAUCCUAACUGCGCUUGGAAGAGCUAAGGAACAGGAGAGGCAGGAAGGAAACUGAACUGAUCUCUCCUGGGUGCUGGCAGCAUUUCACCCCUUCAAGUGCUGCUCCUCCUUCCACCUCACUGAGCUGCAGCCAGGACUUGCCCUGCAUCCCGGGGAGGUAACCUGGCUGAGUCUCUGCGAAGAAGGAACCUCUCCUCUCUGCCUAUCUCUGACUUGCCCCCCAGUCUCCUCCCCGGCACACUUCAGUUUUCAUUGACUGACUGCUAAGAUUGUGCCUGACUUCAUUGAGACGCUUUUAAAAUCUUCGUCUUUGCUCCUUGUAUUGAUUAGCUUUGUCCUCUUAAUGGGCUAUUUUUUGUCUCCCAGCCUGUUGCACCAUUGGGUUAUAUAUUACUCAUCAGGGCUCUUGGUAUGGAUUCAUAGAUAUGAGUACGGUUGGAGACCAGCUCUGGGAAGGGAUGCUGAUCUUUGGAACAAAAACCCCAAAUCUUUCAGUGCUUAGGAAACCGUUCACAAUGUGAAAAAAUUAAAAGAUAAAGAAUCUGAUCACUUCGUUAUUCCACAUAAAUAAAUAUAUAAAUCGAAAGCA
Molecule: long non-coding RNA, 1313 nt
Filed under: Numida meleagris (helmeted guineafowl)
Lineage: Eukaryota; Metazoa; Chordata; Aves; Galliformes; Numididae
Description: lncRNA (ENSNMEG00000009093.1)
Source: RNAcentral